Molecule: ribosomal RNA, 801 nt
Filed under: Triticum aestivum (bread wheat)
Lineage: Eukaryota; Viridiplantae; Streptophyta; Magnoliopsida; Poales; Poaceae
Description: partial small subunit ribosomal RNA
Source: RNAcentral
AUGGGCAGCAAGUCGGAGCAGCGCCUGGACUACGUGCUGGUGCCUCUGGGCCUGGCGGUGAUGGUGGGGUACCACCUGUGGCUCCUCCUCCGCAUCCGGCGACGCCCGGCCACCACCGUCAUCGGUAUCAACGCCAUCAACCGCCGCAUCUGGGUGCGCCACAUCAUGGAGGACCCCUCGGGGAAGCACGCCGUGCUAGCGGUGCAGACGAUGCGCAACGCCAUCAUGGACUCCUCCGUGCUUGCCUCCGUCGCCAUCACCCUCAGCUCCCUCGUCGCAGCUCUCAUGGCGAGCGGCGCCGCCCACGGCCUCUUUUCCGGCACCGCCAGCUCCGCCCAGAACAACAGCAAGAACAACAUCGUGUUGGGCGCGGCGGGGGAGGCGGCGCUGUCCGUCAAGUUCCUGGACAUCCUCGUCUGCUUCCUGGUGGCGUUCCUCCUCAACGUGCAGUCCAUCCGGUACUACAGCCACACAGGCGUCCUCGUCAACGUGCCGCUCCAGGCGCACCGCCAUCACCGCCCCGGCCUCGCCAUCGACUACGUCACCUCCACACUCAACCGCGGCAGCUACUUCUGGUCGCUCGGCGUCCGCGCAUUCUACUUUUCAUGCCCGGUGUUCCUCUGGCUCUUCGGGCCCAUCCCCAUGUUCGCCGCAUGCGUCGCCAUGGUCUGCACGCUCUACUUCCUCGACGUCUACAAGGAGUGGGAUAGGGAGGAGGAGGGCGACGGGCUCGUCGCCGAGGAUGGCGAAGGUGACCGCGAGGAGGAAGGAGGGACGAAGAUGGCUACCAGUUCGGUCUGA